Molecule: ribosomal RNA, 404 nt
Filed under: Actinomycetes bacterium
Lineage: Bacteria; Bacillati; Actinomycetota; Actinomycetes
Also listed under: 1 other name
Description: Actinobacteria bacterium partial 16S ribosomal RNA
Rfam family: Bacterial small subunit ribosomal RNA
Source: RNAcentral
UGGGGAAUAUUGGACAAUGGGCGCAAGCCUGAUCCAGCCAUGCCGCUUGAGUGAUGAAGGCCCUAGGGUUGUAAAGCUCUUUCACCGGUGAAGAUAAUGACGGUAACCGGAGAAGAAGCCCCGGCUAACUUCGUGCCAGCAGCCGCGGUAAUACGAAGGGGGCUAGCGUUGUUCGGAUUUACUGGGCGUAAAGCGCACGUAGGCGGACUUUUAAGUCAGGGGUGAAAUCCCGGGGCUCAACCCCGGAACUGCCUUUGAUACUGGAAGUCUUGAGUAUGGUAGAGGUGAGUGGAAUUCCGAGUGUAGAGGUGAAAUUCGUAGAUAUUCGGAGGAACACCAGUGGCGAAGGCGGCUCACUGGACCAUUACUGACGCUGAGGUGCGAAAGCGUGGGGAGCAAACAGG